UACCAGCACCCCGAGUGGCCGGGACGUUUAUUGGGCCUAAAGCAUCCGUAGCCGGUUCUACAAGUCUUCCGUUAAAUCCACCUGCUUAACAGAUGGGCUGCGGAAGAUACUAUGGAGCUAGGAGGCGGGAGAGGCAAGCGGUACUCGAUGGGUAGGGGUAAAAUCCGUUGAUCCAUUGAAGACCACCAGUGGCGAAGGCGGCUUGCCAGAACGCGCUCGACGGUGAGGGAUGAAAGCUGGGGGAGCAAACCGG
This 253-nucleotide ribosomal RNA is filed under the name uncultured bacterium. RNAcentral describes it as "partial 16S ribosomal RNA". It matches the Rfam family "Archaeal small subunit ribosomal RNA", at positions 474 to 727 of the family's 1478-position model. The record is from RNAcentral.